UUCCUGUCCAAUAAUCUAUGGAAAUUUACCCAUUUUCAUUGAUUUUUUCGUGAAAAAUCAAUAUGAGUACAACUUGUGACGUCAUAAUGAAACGCAGAAACGUGAAAUUUUCAAUAGAAUGGCUUAUAUCCUAUCUAGUUCAUGUAUUAGCUAUAAUUUAUCGUGAUAUUGGUAAAUAAAUCUGAAUUUGAAAUUUACGCUAAAAAAGGGGGCCAUUUUAGGACCUUAUCGAAC
Molecule: long non-coding RNA, 234 nt
Filed under: Mytilus galloprovincialis (Mediterranean mussel)
Lineage: Eukaryota; Metazoa; Mollusca; Bivalvia; Mytilida; Mytilidae
Source: RNAcentral